RNAcentral lists this ribosomal RNA (499 nucleotides) under uncultured bacterium. Its description in RNAcentral is "partial 16S ribosomal RNA". It matches the Rfam family "Bacterial small subunit ribosomal RNA", at positions 28 to 507 of the family's 1533-position model. The record is from RNAcentral.
GACGAACGCUGGCGGCGUGCUUAACACAUGCAAGUCGAACGGGCCCGCUCUCUUUUUUGGGGGUGGGUUGAGUGGCGAACGGGUGAGUAUCACGUGAGUAACCUGCCCCCUGCUCCUGGAUAACUGCUUGAAAGGGCGGCUAAUACGGGGUGUGCCGGCUGGUCCGCAUGGGCCUGGUCGGGAUAGUUUCAUCUUCGGGUGUUUCGGUGGGGGAUGGGCUCGCGGCCUAUCAGCUUGUUGGUGGGGUGAUGGCCCACCAAGGCGGUGACGGGUAGCCGGCCUGAGAGGGUGGGCGGCCACACUGGGACUGAGACACGGCCCAGACUCCUGCGGGAGGCAGCAGUGGGGGGUAUUGCGCAAUGGGCGGAAGCCUGAUGCAGCGACGUCGCGUGAGGGAUGGAGGCCUUCGGGUGGUGAACCUCUUUCUCCGGUGGUGAAGGCCCUGUCCGUUGCGGCGGGGUUGACGGUAGCCGGGGAUGAAGCGCCGGCUAACUACGUG